Molecule: ribosomal RNA, 253 nt
Filed under: uncultured bacterium
Lineage: Bacteria
Description: partial 16S ribosomal RNA
Rfam family: Bacterial small subunit ribosomal RNA
Source: RNAcentral
UACGUAGGGACCAAGCGUUGUUCGGAUUUACUGGGCGUAAAGGGCGCGUAGGCGGCGCGGUAAGUCACUUGCGAAAUCUCUGAGCUUAACUCAGAACGGCCAAGUGAUACUGCCGGGCUAGAGGGUGGUAGAGGCGAGUGGAAUUCCCGGUGUAGCGGUGAAAUGCGCAGAUAUCGGGAGGAACACCAGUAGCGAAGGCGGCUCGCUGGGCCACACCUGACGCUGAGACGCGAAAGCUAGGGGAGCGAACAGG